Cephus cinctus (wheat stem sawfly) is the source of this 64-nucleotide non-coding RNA. Lineage: Eukaryota; Metazoa; Arthropoda; Insecta; Hymenoptera; Cephidae. The record is from the annotation of a RefSeq genome assembly.
AGGAUUAUAAUUUAUAUAAAAUAUUUGAAUUGCAAUCAAAAAUUACUAAUUACUAGUUAAUCUU